GAUGAACGCUGGCGGCGCGCCUAACACAUGCAAGUCGAACGAUUAAAGCACCUUCGGGUGUGUAUAAAGUGGCGAACGGCUGAGUAACACGUGGGCAACCUGCCCCUCUCAUUGGGAUAGCCACGGGAAACCGUGGAUAAUACCGAAUACUUCGAGACUUCCGCAUGGAAGACUCGAGAAGGCUCCGGCGGAGAGGGAUGGGCCCGCGGCCUGUUAGCUUGUUGGUGGGGUAAUGGCCUACCAAGGCAAUGAUGGGUAGCUGGGUUGAGAGACCGACCAGCCAGAUUGGGACUGAGACACGGCCCAGACUCCUACGGGAGGCAGCAGUGGGGAAUCUUGCACAAUGGGCGAAAGCCUGAUGCAGCGACGCCGCGUGCGGGAUGAAGGCCUUCGGGUUGUAAACCGCUUUCAGCAGGGACGAGGCGAAAGUGACGGUACCUGCAG
This 444-nucleotide ribosomal RNA is filed under the name Lancefieldella parvula. RNAcentral describes it as "bacterial SSU rRNA". It matches the Rfam family "Bacterial small subunit ribosomal RNA", at positions 28 to 484 of the family's 1533-position model. Lineage: Bacteria; Bacillati; Actinomycetota; Coriobacteriia; Coriobacteriales; Atopobiaceae. The record is from RNAcentral.